GUGAAUCAUCAAAUCUUUGAACGCAAAUUGCACUUCCUGGUAUUCCGGAGAGUAUGCCUGUUUGAGGGUCAGUUUAAAUAAAAAUAGGUGUGGUUGCUGACUUUAGUGGUGCAGCACCGGAUUUGGGUCGUCUUGACUUCGGUUAAGUGAUCUCAUUAAUUUCAUGAUUUUUUUUGAACGUAUUUAAAUGAUUUUAGUCAG
Molecule: unclassified non-coding RNA, 201 nt
Filed under: Glomeraceae sp.
Lineage: Eukaryota; Fungi; Glomeromycota; Glomeromycetes; Glomerales; Glomeraceae
Description: partial contains 5.8S ribosomal RNA and internal transcribed spacer 2
Rfam family: 5.8S ribosomal RNA (bases 1-71)
Source: RNAcentral